Molecule: ribosomal RNA, 229 nt
Filed under: uncultured bacterium
Lineage: Bacteria
Description: partial 16S ribosomal RNA
Rfam family: Bacterial small subunit ribosomal RNA
Source: RNAcentral
GAUCCUGGCUCAGGAUGAACGCUAGCGAUAGGCUUAACACAUGCAAGUCGAGGGGUAACGUGUUGGAAGCUUGCUUCCGAUGACGACGACCGGCGGAUGGGUGCGUAACGCGUAUGCAACUUGCCUCACAGAGGAGGAUAACCCGGAGAAAUCCGGACUAAUACUCCAUACACUCUUGAGUACGCCUGUACAUGAGAGGAAAGAUUUAUCGCUGUGAGAUAGGCAUGCG